Phragmites australis (common reed) is the source of this 139-nucleotide small nucleolar RNA. RefSeq annotates it as small nucleolar RNA Z247. The record is from RefSeq and is a predicted model, not a curated record. The transcript has a single exon. NCBI's taxonomy places the organism in Eukaryota, Viridiplantae, Streptophyta, Magnoliopsida, Poales, Poaceae.
UUGUUAGAUGAAGACAAAACUAUCUCUUAUGUGCUUAUGGGUCUUAGUUCAGACUAUGAACCCUUGGUCACGUCUCUCAUCACAAGAUCCGAGGAGCUCACCCUUGACGAUGUCUAUGCUCAUCUACUAAUCUUUGAGC